RNAcentral lists this long non-coding RNA (701 nucleotides) under Homo sapiens (human). RNAcentral's name for it is "HSALNT0197512". The record is from RNAcentral. Lineage: Eukaryota; Metazoa; Chordata; Mammalia; Primates; Hominidae.
AGUUUACUCCACCGUGAACUUCCUCCGAUGUCCAUAAAUACACUGUCACGUUGUCACUUUUAUGUCUGCACAGCGGCGCAUUCUAAACAAGCACCACAGUCUUUUUUUUAAACAGCAAUCCCCUGUUGCUGGAUCUUAAGGUUUUCUUCCACUUUUUGAAGAAAUUUUCAAACAGAACUUGAAGCAAAUUCUUUUGCAUAUCUCAGACUAUAUGCCUUUAGGAUACAUUCCCAAGAGGGCAUUUCUUGCCAAAGGGAAGCACACUUUUAAGGUUGUUGAUAUCUUCAAUUGUUCAUUUCCCGCAGUUGGAUACAGAGGGGGCAGCAGCUGAAACCUUUUUCAAGACUCUAGUCUGCACAUUCGUGGUAAGUCCUGACCCCAGGCCCACGCUGCGGGGGAGGAGGGAUUGCACCUGGACUAAAUGGUCUGAGCGACGCAUGUUAGCAUGAAUGAGCUGGCUCAUUAGUUCAUGUUGCCUCCGCCACCAGCAGCAGAUAGGACAUACCUCAAAUGUGUUGUGGCAGUAUAUUACAGUAAAUUAUGACAAUUAGAUAUUGUACCUUUGUGGGUGCAAAGUCCUACUGUGAUCAAUGUAAACAUGGAAAAACAAUGUAAUUUUUAUGAUCCUCAUGUGGGAUUUCUCCAUGUUUUUACUAUAAGAGGAACUGCAGGCCGGGCGCGGUGGCUCACGCCUGUAAUCC